Long non-coding RNA from Bos taurus (domestic cattle), 652 nucleotides. The record is from Ensembl. Lineage: Eukaryota; Metazoa; Chordata; Mammalia; Artiodactyla; Bovidae.
UUCCUUUGCUUUAGGAGACAGAUUCAAAAACAUACUGACAGAUUUCUUUUCAUAGGUGGUAACAAUUUCACCAAAAAAAAAAAUAUUUACCAGAUAUCUACCAAAAAAUAAUAAAUGUAUGUUAAAUUGUGUUUAGCAAUUAUAAAGUGGUUGAUACAAUAUUGUAUGAUUUCCUGAGUCAAAAUAAGCAUGGUAUUUUAAAGCAUGGUGUUUGAAAGGUACUUACUUACUUUGAGUAUCUGGGACUAUUUGAGGCAAAGAUAUGCCCACCAGCAUUUCAUAUGAAAAAGAGAAACAAUUCAAACUGUAAAGCUGAAGCAGAGCCAAAAUGAGCAAGAAAAGGAGGAAAGACUACAUGGAGGAGGGAAAACACCAGAGAAAAGAUCUGCUUUGUGAAGAAAGUGUCUCACAUGGUUCUAAUCCAGAAAUCAGAAUCAUCAGCCAGAUUAACAGAUGCUCCAUGAGCUUUCUUCAAAUACCAGAGCAAACCCAAGACGAUGGAAGGAUGUCACUCUUCUUUCUACAGAAGGAAAACUGAGGCUUAUAAUUACUAGGUGACUUGGCAAAGGUCACAUGGCUGGUAAACUACAGUUUAGCCUUUAAACCCAGGUCUCUCCAACCUGACUAAGUUGCUUCAACUGGUUGUUUUCAG